This is a non-coding RNA of Mycena floridula, 91 nucleotides long. The record is from the annotation of a GenBank genome assembly. Lineage: Eukaryota; Fungi; Basidiomycota; Agaricomycetes; Agaricales; Mycenaceae.
CUGCCUAUAGCUCAGAUGGUAGAGUGUCCGUUAACUUGUACCCAGUCACUUACUUACAUGGAGGUCGAGGGUUCGAACCCCUCUAGCCACG